AGUGGAAUAGCUGAGUCAAGUGGUGGUUCCAUUCCAAUUUAUCUGAGGAAUCUCCAUACUGCUUUCCAUGAGGGUUGCACCAAUUUGUAGUCCCACCAGCAAU
This 103-nucleotide microRNA precursor is filed under the name Marmota monax (woodchuck). The record is from RNAcentral. Lineage: Eukaryota; Metazoa; Chordata; Mammalia; Rodentia; Sciuridae.